CUCUUAUCAAGAGUGGUGGAGGGACUGGCCCGAUGAAACCCGGCAACCGUUAGAAGCUCUGCUUCUAAAAUGGUGCCAAUUCCUGCAAAACGUUAAGCGUUUUGAGAGAUAAGAG
This 115-nucleotide non-coding RNA is filed under the name Thermosediminibacter oceani. RNAcentral describes it as "SAM-I sequence". It matches the Rfam family "SAM riboswitch aptamer (S box leader)". From Rfam's summary of the family: The SAM riboswitch is found upstream of a number of genes which code for proteins involved in methionine or cysteine biosynthesis in Gram-positive bacteria. The SAM riboswitch acts at the level of transcription termination control. The predicted structure consists of a complex stem-loop region followed by a single stem loop terminator region. Lineage: Bacteria; Bacillati; Bacillota; Clostridia; Thermosediminibacterales; Thermosediminibacteraceae. RNAcentral also lists the same sequence under 1 other name. The record is from RNAcentral.